This 761-nucleotide ribosomal RNA is filed under the name uncultured bacterium. RNAcentral describes it as "bacterial SSU rRNA". It matches the Rfam family "Bacterial small subunit ribosomal RNA", at positions 61 to 798 of the family's 1533-position model. The record is from RNAcentral.
UGAUUGAUGGUGCUUGCACCUGAUUGAUUUUGGUUGCCAACGAGUGGCGGACGGGUGAGUAACACGUAGGUAACCUGCCCAGAAGCGGGGGACAACAUUUGGAAACAGAUGCUAAUACCGCAUAACAGCGUUGUUCGCAUGAACAACGCUUAAAAGAUGGCUUCUCGCUAUCACUUCUGGAUGGACCUGCGGUGCAUUAGCUUGUUGGUGGGGUAACGGCCUACCAAGGCGAUGAUGCAUAGCCGAGUUGAGAGACUGAUCGGCCACAAUGGGACUGAGACACGGCCCAUACUCCUACGGGAGGCAGCAGUAGGGAAUCUUCCACAAUGGGCGCAAGCCUGAUGGAGCAACACCGCGUGAGUGAAGAAGGGUUUCGGCUCGUAAAGCUCUGUUGUUAAAGAAGAACACGUAUGAGAGUAACUGUUCAUACGUUGACGGUAUUUAACCAGAAAGUCACGGCUAACUACGUGCCAGCAGCCGCGGUAAUACGUAGGUGGCAAGCGUUAUCCGGAUUUAUUGGGCGUAAAGAGAGUGCAGGCGGUUUUCUAAGUCUGAUGUGAAAGCCUUCGGCUUAACCGGAGAAGUGCAUCGGAAACUGGAUAACUUGAGUGCAGAAGAGGGUAGUGGAACUCCAUGUGUAGCGGUGGAAUGCGUAGAUAUAUGGAAGAACACCAGUGGCGAAGGCGGCUACCUGGUCUGCAACUGACGCUGAGACUCGAAAGCAUGGGUAGCGAACAGGAUUAGAUACCCUGGUAGUCCAU